Molecule: ribosomal RNA, 302 nt
Filed under: uncultured bacterium
Lineage: Bacteria
Description: partial 16S ribosomal RNA
Rfam family: Bacterial small subunit ribosomal RNA
Source: RNAcentral
GCAGUCGCCGCGGGAAUACAGAGGGUGCGAGCGUUAAUCGGAUUUACUGGGCGUAAAGCGUGCGUAGGCGGCUUCUUAAGUCGGAUGUGAAAUCCCUGAGCUUAACUUAGGAAUUGCAUUCGAUACUGGGAAGCUAGAGUAUGGGAGAGGAUGGUAGAAUUCCAGGUGUAGCGGUGAAAUGCGUAGAGAUCUGGAGGAAUACCGAUGGCGAAGGCAGCCAUCUGGCCUAAUACUGACGCUGAGGUACGAAAGCAUGGGGAGCAAACAGGAUUAGAUACCCCUGUAGUCCUGUCUCUUAUACA